UGUGGCCAUAAGCUCAGCAAGUGAAGAAGCAGAGAAUAUGGAGAGGGAGAUGGAAUUUUAGGAAGGUUAUGGCAUGGGUGAGUGGGGAAGAUGAUAAAACUAAUUACUACUUUUGAGUGGUUACAACUUAGAAGUAGAUUAAAAAAAAAUGUUAUCUUUCCCAAUCCACCCAUGCCUUAUGUUUCCUCUUAUUCAUCCCUCUCCUCAAUUUCUCUCCUCUACUACUACCACAUUUAUAUAUGAUAUGUUUAUUAUGUUUGGUAGCUGUUCAUCUAUAGAUUUACUCUAGUGUCCAUCAUAUAUUUUUAUUAUGUGUGGUGUGGUGAUUAGGUUUUUAUUAUGUGUGGUUUUAUGGUUUUUCCAUGUGUUUUUUCUUUCUAAGGGUUGGUAUAAUUUGUUGAGUGCGCAUGUAAGGAUCUGUUUUGAGGCCAAAGAUCUCAUCAACCAUAUAAAUUUCCAGCUGAUUUUCCGAUCUAUGGAGAUCUUUGUUACAUAGUU
This 498-nucleotide long non-coding RNA is filed under the name Prunus dulcis (almond). RNAcentral describes it as "sRNA ncRNA". Lineage: Eukaryota; Viridiplantae; Streptophyta; Magnoliopsida; Rosales; Rosaceae. The record is from RNAcentral.